AAGGCUUCAGUACGACCCAGUCAGAACUAUAAGUCUCAAAGCCCCGACGAGUAGGGUGGCGUGCCGGUGCGCGUUGAAGGCCAAGACGUGAGUCAGGCUGGAGCCGCCGGUAGUGCAGAUCUUGGUGGUAGUAGCAAGUACUCUGGUGAACCAACCUGGAGCUGUGAGGUCUGGAUCAGGGUUCCAUGUCAACAGUGAUUGAACAUGGGUGAGUCGAUCCUAAGCCAACUGUGAAAGCAGUGACAUCCCGACAAAGGGACUGUUUCGUGCGCCGCACUUACACCCCCAACCGCAUACAUCUCUCUCUCGCACGGCCGUCUGUUAAGACGUAAAAGUGUCCUGGUACGGAAAAAGCGCACACACGGUGAUCACUACAAACGUGUGUGAGUGUGUGCGCGUGCUGCUUGUCUGGUUACGCUCAAAAGCGUUGUUUUGCUAUCUGGAAAGACGAGAGAGAGGGUGGGUGAGCGUGAGUUUGCUCUUGCAUGAGUCUCCUGCGUCUGGUUCUAUGUCUGGCGAAAGGGAAUGGGGACUUUGUUCCUUGACCGGUCCCGGCACCCUCGAUUGGCUUUGCCAAUUAAUGGUCCAUGCAAAUGGAACCAGGCCACAGCCGCCGGCAGUCGCCCGAGGAAGAGUUUUCUUUUCUGCUUAACGCACGAGGUCAUCCCUGGAAACAGUUCGGCUGGCGAAAGGGUGCCCCGUUGCGGCAGAGCGCCACGACUGUCGUGCGCGUCUCGGUGUUCCUGCCGGUCCGUGAAGACGUGGUCGAGGGGAUUGCUCUUGUAUCAACGAAACGCCCGACAAGUUCGGGACGGACCGUACCCUAUAUCCGCAUCUGGUCUCCAAGGUUCGUAGCCUCUGCAGAGUCAGACACAUGUAGGUAAGGGAAGUCGGCAAACUCGAUCCGUAACUUCGGGAAAAGGAUUGGCUCUGAGGGCCGAGCUGGGCCGGGCCUUGCCUGCAAAGCAGUACCUAUAGUGACCGGAGUUUCAGGAGUGCGAGGGGCUCUAGUAGCUGCUUGUGCGUGUGUGCGUUCGCGCGUGCGCGCGUGUGGGCACGAACGAGUCCACCGCUCCGCUCCAACCACGAACGGCUGUGACGGCAAGGGCUCUGGGCGGGAGCGAUCAACCCGUUGGCCCCCAGCUCGUCUGGGUGGCGGCGGUGCUCCGUCUGACCCAUACGGCUCCAGCGGCUAGCGGCUAACUCAGAACUGUCAUGGACCAAGGGAAUCCGACUGUCUAAUUAAAACAAAGCGUCGUGACGGCCCCUGUUGGGUGUUGACGCGACGUGAUUUCUGCCCAGUGCUCUAA
RNAcentral lists this ribosomal RNA (1310 nucleotides) under Niphargus rhenorhodanensis. RNAcentral describes it as "eukaryotic LSU rRNA". It matches the Rfam family "Eukaryotic large subunit ribosomal RNA", at positions 1357 to 2213 of the family's 3401-position model. The record is from RNAcentral. Lineage: Eukaryota; Metazoa; Arthropoda; Malacostraca; Amphipoda; Niphargidae.